RNAcentral lists this ribosomal RNA (433 nucleotides) under uncultured bacterium. RNAcentral's name for it is "partial 16S ribosomal RNA". It matches the Rfam family "Bacterial small subunit ribosomal RNA", at positions 29 to 507 of the family's 1533-position model. The record is from RNAcentral.
AACGAACGCUGGCGGCAUGCCUAACACAUGCAAGUCGAACGAGACCUCCGGGUCUAGUGGCGCAUGGGUGCGUCACGCGUGGGAACCUGCACUUAGGCUCCGAAUAACUCUCUGACAGGGGUGCUAAUACCGGGUAACGUCUUCGGACCAAAGAUUCAUCGACCUUGGAUGGGCCCGCGUUGGAUUAGCUAGUUGGUAGGGUAAAAGCCUACCACGGCGACGAUACUUAGCUGGUCAGAGAGAAUGAUCAGCGACACUGGGAGUAGGACCCGGCGCAGACUCCUACAGGAGGCGGGAGUGGGGAAUACUGGACAACGGGCGGAGGCAUGAAGGAGCAAGGCUGCGUGAGUGAUGAAGGCGUUAGAGUAGUAAAGCUGUUUUAUCCGGGAUGAUAAUGACGGUACCGGGAGAAUAAGCACCGGCUAACUCCGUG